GAUGUCUGAAUUAUUUAUUUUUAGGCCAUAAUCCUGUCACCUUAGGUCGAUCGGUAUCUCAGUUUUAUAUCUGAAAGCUAAAUUACUUAGUUCUAUAAAGGUAUUGAAUUCAGUUCCUAAACUUUGUCUAGGUCACACCCCUCAAAAGGGUACUCCUGGGCCAUUAGCUCAGGUGGUUAGAGCGCACCCCUGAUAAGGGUGAGGUCCCUGGUUCAAGUCCAGGAUGGCCCAUUCGGUGUUGGGGGUAUAGCUCAGUUGGUAGAGCGCCUGCUUUGCAAGCAGGAUGUCAGCGGUUCGAGUCCGCUUACCUCCACUGAUCAACCUCCUGAUAGCGAAGCUUGCGGAGACUUUUGUUUGAUGUGAUCUAGAAUUUGUUCUUAAUGAAUGAACCUAGCUUCUUAUUAAUAAGGCUGAGAUUUUUUAGUUUGAUUGAUAGGACGCUGGGCUCGCUGCAAUAGCAAUUGCAGAGAACUUCAGUAGAACCUUGACAACUGCAUAGGAUAAGUCUGGAAAAAAUAAAGCAUCUCAUGGAUGAAUUAUUUUUUUAACCACGAUUUCAGUUUUCUGAAUAAAAUCAGAAUUGAAUUUUGGUUCAAAAUUAUAAUUUUCAAUUCUUGAGCAAGAGCCGAGACUCUAUAAAAUCACUAUCAUUGCAAUAAUAGCUUUGAAAGAUGUAUCCUUCUUUUUAUUACUUAGGUCAAUAGUUUUGGAUUUUUCU
RNAcentral lists this transfer RNA (718 nucleotides) under uncultured Prochlorococcus sp. RNAcentral's name for it is "partial may contain 16S ribosomal RNA, 16S-23S ribosomal RNA intergenic spacer, and 23S ribosomal RNA". The stretch from base 241 to 313 matches the Rfam family "tRNA". Lineage: Bacteria; Bacillati; Cyanobacteriota; Cyanophyceae; Synechococcales; Prochlorococcaceae. The record is from RNAcentral.